ACGGAAGGCAGCAGCAGUGAGGAAUAUUGGUCAAUGGGCGAGAGCCUGAACCAGCCAAGUAGCGUGCAGGAUGACGGCCCUAUGGGUUGUAAACUGCUUUUAACCGGGAAUAACGUCAUGCUCGUGAGCUUGAGUGCAUGUACCGGUUGAAUAAGGAUCGGCUAACUCCGUGCCAGCAGCCGCGGUAAUACGGAGGAUCCGAGCGUUAUCCGGAUUUAUUGGGUUUAAAGGGAGCGUAGGCGGAGUAUCAAGUCAGCUGUGAAAUGUAGUCGCUCAACGUCUGCACUGCAGUUGAAACUGGUACCCUUGAGUGCGUAAGAGGUAGGCGGAAUUCGUCGUGUAGCGGUGGAAUGCUUAGAUAUGACGAAGAACUCCGAUUGCGAAGGCAGCUUACUGGGCCGCAACUGACGCUGAAGCUCGAAGGUGCGGGUAUCGAACAGGAUUAGAUACCCUGGUA
RNAcentral lists this ribosomal RNA (457 nucleotides) under uncultured Prevotellaceae bacterium. RNAcentral describes it as "bacterial SSU rRNA". It matches the Rfam family "Bacterial small subunit ribosomal RNA", at positions 341 to 792 of the family's 1533-position model. Lineage: Bacteria; Pseudomonadati; Bacteroidota; Bacteroidia; Bacteroidales; Prevotellaceae. The record is from RNAcentral.